GCCAGGUGCAUUGGUGCAUGCCUGUAAUCCCUUGGCUCAGGAAGCUGAGGCAGGAGGAUCACAAGUUCAGAGCCAGCCUCAGUAAUUUUCUGAGGCACUGAGCAACUCAGUGAGAUCCUGUCUCUA
This 126-nucleotide small RNA is filed under the name Marmota monax (woodchuck). Lineage: Eukaryota; Metazoa; Chordata; Mammalia; Rodentia; Sciuridae. The record is from RNAcentral.